GAUGAACGCUAGCUACAGGCUUAACACAUGCAAGUCGAGGGGAAACGAUGAGAGAGCUUGCUCUCUUAGUCGUCGACCGGCGCACGGGUGAGUAACGCGUAUCCAACCUGCCUCUGACCAAGGGAUAACCCGUCGAAAGUCGGACUAAUACCUUAUGCAGUCGUCGGAAGUCAUCUGAUGACGACGAAAGAUUUCAUCGGUGAGAGAUGGGGAUGCGUCUGAUUAGCUUGUUGGCGGGGUAACGGCCCACCAAGGCGACGUUCAGUAGGGGUUCUGAGAGGAAGGUCCCCCACAUUGGAACUGAGGCACAGUCCAAACGCCUACGGGAGGCAGCAGUGAGGAAUAUUGGUCAAUGGGCGUAAGCCUGAACCAGCCAAGUAGCGUGCAGGAUGACGGCCCUAUGGGUUGUAAACUGCUUUUAUGCGGGGAUAAAGUGAGGGACGUGUCCUUCAUUGCAGGUACCGUAUGAAUAAGGACCGGCUAAUUCCGUG
This 491-nucleotide ribosomal RNA is filed under the name uncultured bacterium. RNAcentral's name for it is "partial 16S ribosomal RNA". It matches the Rfam family "Bacterial small subunit ribosomal RNA", at positions 28 to 507 of the family's 1533-position model. The record is from RNAcentral.